GACGAACGCUGGCGGCGUGCUUAACACAUGCAAGUCGUACGGUGAAGCGCCUUCCUUUUUGGUGGGUGUGGAUGAGUGGCGAACGGGUGAGUAACACGUGAGUAACCUGCCCCCUUCUUCUGGAUAACCGCAUGAAAGUGUGGCUAAUACGGGAUAUUCUGGGUCUGUCGCAUGAUGGGUCUGGGAAAGAUAUUGUUUCGGUGGGGGAUGGGCUCGCGGCCUAUCAGCUUGUUGGUGGGGUGAUGGCCUACCAAGGCGGUGACGGGUAGCCGGCCUGAGAGGGUGGACGGUCACACUGGGACUGAGACACGGCCCAGACUCCUACGGGAGGCAGCAGGGGGGAAUAUUGCACAGUGGGCGCAAGCCUGAUGCAGCGACGCCGCGUGAGGGAUGGAGGCCUUCGGGUUGUGAACCUCUUUCGCCAGUGAAGCAGGCCUGCCUCGUUUGUGGGUGGGUUGACGGUAGCUGGAUAAGAAGCGCCGGCUAACUACGUG
RNAcentral lists this ribosomal RNA (494 nucleotides) under uncultured bacterium. RNAcentral describes it as "partial 16S ribosomal RNA". It matches the Rfam family "Bacterial small subunit ribosomal RNA", at positions 28 to 507 of the family's 1533-position model. The record is from RNAcentral.